AGAGUUUGAUCCUGGCUCAGGAUGAACGCUAGCGGUGUGCCUAACACAUGCAAGUCGUGCGAUCGAGCCAGACUAAUCACCCUUCGGGGUGUGAAGACUGGUGACGGAGCGGCGGACUGGUGAGUAACACGUGGCUAACCUACCUUCUUGACGGGGAUAACUAUUCGAAAGAAUAGCUAAUACCCGAUAUUGCUGAAGAUCGAUGGAUCUUCAGCCAAAGGCGGCCUAGUCGUCAUAAGAGGAUGGGGCUGCGCCCUAUUAGCUUGUUGGUAAGGUAAUGGCUUACCAAGGCAAUGAUGGGUAGCUGGUCUGAGAGGAUGAUCAGCCACAUUGGGACUGAGAUACGGCCCAGACUCCUACGGGAGGCAGCAGUGGGGAAUAUUUCACAAUGGGCGAAAGCCUGAUGGAGCAACACCGCGUGGGGGAUGAAUGCCUUCGGGUUGUAAACCCCUUUUCUGGGGGAAGAAUAAGGUCGGGAGGGAAUGCCCGUCCGAUGACGGUACUCCAGGAAUAAGGAUCGGCUAACUUCGUGCCAGCAGCCGCGGUAAGACGAAGGAUCCGAGUGUUAUCCGGAAUUACUGGGCGUAAAGGGCGUCUAGGCGGCCAAGUAAGUCACCCGUGAAAGUCCGCGGCUCAACCGCGGAAUGCCGGGUGAAACUGCUUGACUUGGGUAUAGGAGAAGAGGGUGGAACUCACAGAGUAGCGGUGGAAUGCGUAGAUACUGUGAGGUACCCCGAUGGCGAAGGCAACCCUCUGGCCUGCUACCGACGCUGAAGCGCGAAAGCGUGGGGAGCAAGGGGGAUUAGAUACCCCCGUAGUCCACGCCGCAAACGAUGUUCACUUGGUGUCGGUCGCUGAUACAGAUCGGUGCCGGAGCUAACGUGUUAAGUGAACCGCCUGGGGAGUACGGCCGCAAGGCUAAAACUCAAGAGAAUUGACGGGGGCCCGCACAAGCGGUGGAGCACGUGGUUCAAUUCGAUGAUAAACGAAUAACCUCACCUGGGUUUGACAUGCUAGUGGUAGGAACCAGAAACGGGGACGACUUUCCCUUUCGAGGGAAGGAGCUAGC
Molecule: ribosomal RNA, 1069 nt
Filed under: uncultured bacterium
Lineage: Bacteria
Description: bacterial SSU rRNA
Rfam family: Bacterial small subunit ribosomal RNA
Source: RNAcentral